CCUAAUCCCUGCAGCUAACUCUUCACACAGUUGAUGCCAAGAAGGGGUAAUGAUUAACUUGCCUCCUAAUAAGGUUUAUGCAUCUCUGAAUACCCACUGAGUCCCC
Molecule: long non-coding RNA, 106 nt
Organism: Manacus vitellinus (golden-collared manakin)
Lineage: Eukaryota; Metazoa; Chordata; Aves; Passeriformes; Pipridae
Exons: 3
Source: RefSeq, a predicted model, not a curated record